RNAcentral lists this ribosomal RNA (428 nucleotides) under uncultured bacterium. RNAcentral describes it as "bacterial SSU rRNA". It matches the Rfam family "Bacterial small subunit ribosomal RNA", at positions 355 to 775 of the family's 1533-position model. The record is from RNAcentral.
UGGGGAAUCUUCCGCAAUGGACGAAAGUCUGACGGAGCAACGCCGCGUGAGUGAUGAAGGUCUUCGGAUUGUAAAGCUCUGUUAAUCGGGACGAAAGAGCCUAGUGUGAAUAAUGUUAGGAAGUGACGGUACCGGAAUAGAAAGCCACGGCUAACUACGUGCCAGCAGCCGCGGUAAUACGUAGGUGGCAAGCGUUGUCCGGAAUUAUUGGGCGUAAAGCGCGCGCAGGCGGAUCUGCCAGUCUGUCUUAAAAGUUCGGGGCUUAACCCCGUGAUGGGAUGGAAACUACAGAUCUAGAGUAUCGGAGAGGAAAGUGGAAUUCCUAGUGUAGCGGUGAAAUGCGUAGAUAUUAGGAAGAACACCAGUGGCGAAGGCGACUUUCUGGACGAAAACUCACGCUGAGGCGCGAAAGCCAGGGGAGCGAACGG